Molecule: ribosomal RNA, 407 nt
Filed under: uncultured bacterium
Lineage: Bacteria
Description: partial 16S ribosomal RNA
Rfam family: Bacterial small subunit ribosomal RNA
Source: RNAcentral
GACGAACGCUGGCGGCGUGCCUAAUACAUGCAAGUAGAACGCAGUUGCGAACGGGUGAGUAACGCGUAGGUAACUGCCUCAUAGCGGGGGAUAACUAUUGGAAACGAUAGCUAAUACCGCAUACUGUGAGAUGUACCUGCGUUGUAUUAGCUAGUUGGCGAGGUAAAGGCUCACCAAGGGGACGAGACAUAGCCGACCUGGGAGGGUGGUCGGCCACACUGGGACCGGGACACGGCCCAGACUGCUACAGGGGGCAGCAGAAGGGAAACUUCGGGAAGUGGCGGAAGUCUGGGCGAGAAACGCCGCGUGAGUGAAGAAGGUUUUCGGGUCGUGAAGCUCUGUUGUUGGAGAAUCGGUAGCUACCCAGAAAGGGACGGCUAACUACGUGCCAGCAGCCGCGGUAAUAC